AUCAAUCGACUGUUGAUUACCUCUUUUCCCUGUUGCCUAUAUUAUGUUUGGCCAUACUUGGUUUCACUUGGGUUGAUCUAUUCCAUGUGGUUAUUACCUGCUGUCCCAUAUAGGUCGAACAUCUUUUUCAUAAACAGUACAUUGUUGAAGUGAUUCAUUUUGAAGUCAUUGAUGUGAAAUGGUAUCUCAGAAUCUUGUAUCUUGAAUAAGAACUUGAAGGCAACUUUGCCAAGGUGAUUAGUUGCUUGUUGAUUUCCUCUUUUCCCUGUUGCCUAUAUUCUCUUUUCGCCACACAUGGUUUCAUUUUGGAAGGCAACUUUGCCGAGGUGAUUAAUUGAUUCUUGAUUACCUCUUUUCCCUGUUGCCUAUAUUAUGUUUGGCCAUACUUGGUUUCACUUGGGUUGAUCUAUUCCAUGUGGUUAUUGCCUGCUGUCCCAUAUAGGCCGAACAUCUUUUUCAUAAACAGUACAUUGUUGAAGUGAUUCAUUUUGAAGUCAUUGAUGUGAAAUGGUAUCUCAGAAUCUUGUAUCUUGAAUAAGAACUUGAAGGCAACUUUGCCAAGGUGAUUAGUUGCUUGUUGAUUUCCUCUUUUCCCUGUUGCCUAUAUUCUCUUUUCGCCACACAUGAUUUCAUUUUGGAAGGCAACUUUGCCGAGGUGAUUAAUUGAUUCUUGAUUACCUCUUUUCCCUGUUGCCUAUAUUAUGUUUGGCCAUACUUGGUUUCACUUGGGUUGAUCUAUUCCAUGUGGUUAUUACCUGCUGUCCCAUAUAGGCCGAACACCUUUUUCAUAAACAGUACAUUGUUGAAGUGAUUCAUUUUGAAGUCAUUGAUGUGAAAUGGUAUCUCAGAAUUUUGUAUCUUGAAUAAGAACUUGAAGGCAACUUUGCCAAGGUGAUUAGUUGCUUGUUGAUUUCCUCUUUUCCCUGUUGCCUAUAUUCUCUUUUCGCCACACAUGGUUUCAUUUUGGAAGGCAACUUUGCCGAGGUGAUUAAUUGAUUCUUGAUUACCUCUUUUCCCUGUUGCCUAUAUUAUGUUUGGCCAUGCUUGGGUUCAUUGGGGUUGAUCUAUUCCCUGUGGUUAUUACCUGCUGUCCCAUAUAAGCCGAACAUCUUUUUCAAAAACAGUACGUUGUUGAAGUGAUUCAAUUUGAAGUCAUCAGUGUGAAAUAGUGUCUUUGAAUCUUGUAUCUUGCAUGACAACUUGAAGGCAACUUUGCCGAGGUGAUUAGUUUCUUGUUGAUUUCCUCUUUUCCCUGUUGCCUAUAUUCUCUUUUGGCCAUACAUGGUUUCAUUUUGGUCAAUCUAUCUCCUUGGUUGUUACCUUCAACUUUUAUAGGCCAAACAUAUUUUUUGUUAUUCAGAGAUGGCUGAAUGAGGUUGUUGGAGCCUUGCUCCACAUUAAUUUGGAAAUGCCACUACAUAAAGCUUUUUUCAUGGUGCUUGUUCCUUUCUUAAAAAUAUUUUACCAUUUAAGUCUAUUCUAAAUUAAUGAGUUGCUUUCCUGAUUUGAGGCAGUUUUAUGCCUGCUUUAGGUUAUUCUUUGAAUUUUGCAAGUUCAUGUAACUUUGGUUUGAGAUUGUUUGUUUGGUAUCAUGAUCUCUACAUGAUGAUAGCUGUUAUUGGCUAUGGAUUUCAUCCAAUGAGGCCUUUUGUAGUCAUAGUUACACUGAUAGAGUUUCAUGUCUGUUUCUUUCCUUCUUUCUGUUGGCUUCCUCCCUCUUCUCUUUCUUCCUCCUUUUGGAAAAAAAUUCUACUUCCAACUGCAUGUGAAUUUGUGGUGUCUGGUAAGAGCACUGAUAUGAUACUGUCCUUGUUGAUUUCUUUAUAUUUCCCGAGUUUUUGAAUUUCAUUAUGAAGUUUUUUUAUUUGGUGAACAUGAUCUAUAUGUGAUGAAAAAUGGCAUGGGCUAUGGAUUAAUCUCCAAUGAAGCCUUAAGAAGUCAUAGUUACACUGAUAGAGGAUCAUUUAUUUUUUAUUUUUAUCAAGUUCUUGUUUUUCUAUGCGUAUGGAUUCUUCGAGUUCUGUGGGUUUAGAUUCAGUAAUGCAAUGAUGGACAAUUAAUCGGCCCUGAAUUGUGGUAUGUAGUAUGUACUUAUCUCCCUUGCAUAUAGAAGUGAUUGAAUUUCCAAAAAGAUUUAAUGUUGAGUGAAGUCGGUAUUCCCAUGGACUUUGGGCCCCACCCAAAAAAAAAAAUACAUAAAAAUAAGAAAUAGUGCUCUAAAAGAUGAUACUUCUCAGAGGAUACAGAGCAAUAUCCAGGUGAGGGUUUUAUGAUACACUGACAACAUGAAUUUGGAGCAAGGUGCAUAAAUAAUUACUGGAAACAGAUUGUUCUUUUCAGUCUUGUUGUACUCUCCACACUGAAUGCUGUACAAUAUCUGCAUAUUCCUCGUUGCCUAAACCUUCACAUAUAUCUCUUAGUUAGGAGCUUAUCCUACUUGUAUGUUUCAUGAAUGGUGAUUAAAUCAACUUUCCAAUGAACUGCAUAAAUCAUGAUUUUGUUACGUAGUAUGUCAUAAUCAAUAUUUUCCAUGUUCUGGUUGAAUUGGAUAAAAAAAAACCAUUAUUCAGUUGUUA
This 2576-nucleotide long non-coding RNA is filed under the name Vitis vinifera (wine grape). Its description in RNAcentral is "long non-coding RNA (VVIN_LNC002447)". Lineage: Eukaryota; Viridiplantae; Streptophyta; Magnoliopsida; Vitales; Vitaceae. The record is from RNAcentral.